Molecule: ribosomal RNA, 565 nt
Filed under: Streptomyces sp. 428H12
Lineage: Bacteria; Bacillati; Actinomycetota; Actinomycetes; Kitasatosporales; Streptomycetaceae
Description: bacterial SSU rRNA
Rfam family: Bacterial small subunit ribosomal RNA
Source: RNAcentral
UAGUGGCGAACGGGUGAGUAACACGUGGGCAAUCUGCCCUGCACUCUGGGACAAGCCCUGGAAACGGGGUCUAAUACCGGAUACUCACUGCCUUGGGCAUCCUUGGCGGUGGAAAGCUCCGGCGGUGCAGGAUGAGCCCGCGGCCUAUCAGCUAGUUGGUGAGGUAAUGGCUCACCAAGGCGACGACGGGUAGCCGGCCUGAGAGGGCGACCGGCCACACUGGGACUGAGACACGGCCCAGACUCCUACGGGAGGCAGCAGUGGGGAAUAUUGCACAAUGGGCGAAAGCCUGAUGCAGCGACGCCGCGUGAGGGAUGACGGCCUUCGGGUUGUAAACCUCUUUCAGCAGGGAAGAAGCGAAAGUGACGGUACCUGCAGAAGAAGCGCCGGCUAACUACGUGCCAGCAGCCGCGGUAAUACGUAGGGCGCAAGCGUUGUCCGGAAUUAUUGGGCGUAAAGAGCUCGUAGGCGGCUUGUCACGUCGGUUGUGAAAGCCCGGGGCUUAACCCCGGGUCUGCAGUCGAUACGGGCAGGCUAGAGUUCGGUAGGGGAGAUCGGANUUCCU